RNAcentral lists this unclassified non-coding RNA (152 nucleotides) under uncultured fungus. Its description in RNAcentral is "sequence contains ITS1, 5.8S rRNA gene". The record is from RNAcentral. Lineage: Eukaryota; Fungi.
CCGAGUGAGGGCCUCUGGCCCGACCUCCAACCCUUUGUUAUCCACACCAUUGUUGCCUCGGGGGCGACCCGCGCCCGUCGGCGUCGGGGCCCCCGACGGACCAUUUCAAAACUCUGCAUCUUUGCGUCGGGUUUAUAAAGUUUAAUUGAUUA